Molecule: ribosomal RNA, 383 nt
Filed under: uncultured eukaryote
Lineage: Eukaryota
Description: partial 18S ribosomal RNA
Rfam family: Eukaryotic small subunit ribosomal RNA
Source: RNAcentral
CAAUAGCGUAUAUUAAAGUUGUUGCAGUUAAAAAGCUCGUAGUUGGAUUUCUGGCUGGAGCGACCGGUCACACACUCUGUGUGUGAACUUGCGUUGUCUCUGGCCAUCCUUGGGAAGAUCCUGUUUGGCAUUAAGUUGUCGGGCAGGGGAUACCCAUCGUUUACUGUGAAAAAAUUAGAGUGUUUAAAGCAGGCUUAUGCCGUUGAAUAUAUUAGCAUGGAAUAAUAAGAUAGGACUUCGGAACUAUUUUGUUGGUUUGCGUUACGAAGUAAUGAUUAAUAGGGACAGUUGGGGGUAUUCGUAUUUCGUUGUCAGAGGUGAAAUUCUUGGAUUUCCGAAAGACGAACUACUGCGAAAGCAUUUACCAAGGAUGUUUUCAUUAA